UACGAAGGGGGCUAGCGUUGCUCGGAAUCACUGGGCGUAAAGCGCACGUAGGCGGAUCUUUAAGUCAGAGGUGAAAUCCCAAGGCUCAACCUUGGAACUGCCUUUGAUACUGGGGAUCUCGAGUCCGGAAGAGGUGAGUGGAACUGCGAGUGUAGAGGUGAAAUUCGUAGAUAUUCGCAAGAACACCGGUGGCGAAGGCGGCGACCUGGUCCUUGACUGACGCUGAGGCGCGAAAGCGUGGGGAGCAAACAGG
Molecule: ribosomal RNA, 253 nt
Filed under: uncultured bacterium
Lineage: Bacteria
Description: partial 16S ribosomal RNA
Rfam family: Bacterial small subunit ribosomal RNA
Source: RNAcentral